This is a small nuclear RNA of Onychomys torridus (southern grasshopper mouse), 107 nucleotides long. The record is from RefSeq and is a predicted model, not a curated record. NCBI's taxonomy places the organism in Eukaryota, Metazoa, Chordata, Mammalia, Rodentia, Cricetidae.
GUGCUUGCUUCGGCAGCACACAUACUAAAAUCAGAAUGAUGCAGGGAAGAUUAGCAUGGCCCCUGCACAAGGAUGACACGCAAAUUUGUGAAGCGUUCAUAUUUUUA